GAUGAAGAACGUAGCGAAAUGCGAUACGUAAUGUGAAUUGCAGAAUUCAGUGAAUCAUCGAGUCUUUGAACGCACAUUGCGCCCUCUGGUAUUCCGGAGGGCAUGCCUGUCCGAGCGUCAUUGCUGCCCUCAAGCACGGCUUGUGUGUUGGGCCCCGCCCCCCGAUCCCGGGGGGCGGGCCCGAAAGGCAGCGGCGGCACCGCGUCCGGUCCUCGAGCGUAUGGGGCUUUGUCACCCGCUCUGUAGGCCCGGCCGGCGCCUGCCGAUCAACCAAACUUUUUUCCAGGUUGACCUCGGAUCAGGUAGGAAUACCCGCUGAACUUAAGCAUAUCAAUAAGCGGAGGA
RNAcentral lists this unclassified non-coding RNA (345 nucleotides) under soil metagenome. RNAcentral describes it as "partial contains 5.8S ribosomal RNA, internal transcribed spacer 2, and large subunit ribosomal RNA". The stretch from base 1 to 120 matches the Rfam family "5.8S ribosomal RNA", at positions 35 to 154 of the family's 154-position model. The record is from RNAcentral.